Molecule: ribosomal RNA, 396 nt
Filed under: Triticum aestivum (bread wheat)
Lineage: Eukaryota; Viridiplantae; Streptophyta; Magnoliopsida; Poales; Poaceae
Description: partial small subunit ribosomal RNA
Source: RNAcentral
AUGGAUGUGCGUGCACGUGCUCAGUAUAGAAUGGAUGUGCUGUCUUCCGCUCGUCCAUCUUCGAGCCAAGCACGUGCUUCUUCCGCUCAUCCAUCUUCCAGCCGAGCAGGUGCUUCUUCGAGCCGAGCACGGAUUGAUGAAGAGGAGGAGACAGACUACGAUGCGGAUCCGGACUAUGUGGAGCUUGCGGCUUCGCAGAUGGAAGAUGCUCUACCGCCAACUCAACCUUCUCAGCCUUCUGAAGAAGCACGCCGAGUUAGCUCAAGAACCAUCCGAUGUCCUGGAUGGCAGAACACUCCAGAGGGCUACGUCAACAGGGGAAGAUGGCUGCAAAAAGAGGCAAGAAGUGAAGUGAUGACUAAUGCGAACUUGUUAGUUAUAUAUGUGGUGAACUAG